Molecule: small RNA, 26 nt
Filed under: Bombyx mori (domestic silkworm)
Lineage: Eukaryota; Metazoa; Arthropoda; Insecta; Lepidoptera; Bombycidae
Description: ovarian small RNA-16454
Source: RNAcentral
GCAGAAAACAAGGGACUUGACGGUAA